Molecule: non-coding RNA, 78 nt
Filed under: Thiomonas intermedia
Lineage: Bacteria; Pseudomonadati; Pseudomonadota; Betaproteobacteria; Burkholderiales
Also listed under: 4 other names
Description: Fluoride sequence
Rfam family: Fluoride riboswitch aptamer (crcB RNA motif)
Source: RNAcentral
UCAACAAACGGCGAUGGAGUUCGCCGUGCAAUUGCCUCAAUAGGGGUUUCGCCCCAGGCUGAUGACUCCUACCCAUGU